GGCUUAUAUUGGACACAGGUUUUGUUAUUCCUGCUGCUUUCAAAAUGCUGGUGCACAAGCCUACCAACUUCUGUGCUAUUUGCACCCUGUCAUCCUCAGCUUCCUUUAGUUUGUUUAUCAAUUGUUGUUCCUCAUCAAAAUUUAUAUAGGGACUUUUUCCAAUGGAAGCACGAUAAUGUGCAAGCUCUUCUUUUACUCGUGAAAGAAUGAUCUCCGUACGCUGCAGCUUAGCACUAAGAUCUUCAUUCUGAAGUUUUAGCAAAUUGUUCUCCUCCUUAAUUUUUGCAUGAUGAUGAAUGCGUUGCUGGAGGUUUUGCUGGCCAGACAGCUUCUUUACAUCAGCUUCAAGUUGCAUCACCCUUUUCUUAUUAUUUGCAUUCUCCGUCUGGAUGGUUUGAUGCAUUUAAUGUAAAGAGAAAAUACCAUUAAAAAGAGGCAAAAAUAGAGUUCUCCUUUAGUGCGAAGAUUAAUUCACUUGAAUCCACUUCAAAAGAAUAUUCCAAAUCAUAGACUAAAAUUUUAACCUUCAACAUUUCAUUUUCAGCUUGAAGUAACUGAUCUCGUUGCCGAAGCUUUUCCAAUGCUAUUUGUGCUGCAACCAUCUCAGCCUGUCUCCUAUCAAUUUCCUCUAGCCAUCUGGGAAAGAAAAUGUGCAAAUUCAUCAACACGCUGCAGACCAUUUUUGCCAGAGGCAAGCCAUUUAAUAUUUUGAAGCAAGAUAUGCUUACCCUCGCCUCUCCUCAAUAAAUUCAUUGAGCUGCUGUUUGAGCUUCAUGACCUCCUGCUGCUCCUGUAUGGCCAAGGGUCACAAUUAAGAUAAAAUAUCUAAUAGUUGCCCUAAUUUCACAUCACCAAAGUAAAGAAUACCUUAGGUUGAGGUUCGAAGCUAUUAAGUUGAGCUUUCUCUGCUAUCUUCUGUAGUUGCUGAUUAUCCAACAGUGACACAUAAUUUGUCAUAUCCAAUUUCACUCCCAAUAAAUCUCGAAUGACAUCAUGGGUCAUGCUCUCCGCAGCAGCUAAUCUUGCAUUCAAUGCAAAUAUCUCUUUUUGUCGACUCACAGCUAGGGAUUCUAGCUCUUCAAUAUGCAACCUAGCAGCUGUAAGCUCUUCAUCCCUCUCAGAUUUUAUUUGUUGUGCCAAACCCAAACCAAUGCAUUUGAAAGGGGAACCAGAACCCCUGGACUUGGCAGCAUUUUUCUCAAGUUUGUUUGAUGAAGAAUUUCCAAUGUGGGAGAAAUGGCCUUCAGGUUUUACUUGCUCAGUCAUUGCUUCCAAGGCCUUGAACUUCUCUUUGUAUUCGCUAGCCUGGGCUUCUGCAUGUAAAUUUAACUCAGAUAUAUGUGCCUUGCAUUGGGCAAUCUCUGCAUCUUUCUCAGCAAUAUCCCUCCCAAGAACUUGUAUGUGCUUCAGGGCUUCUUCUAGACCUUUCUCCUUCUCAUCUAAAUGCCUUUUAAUGUCAGUGUCAACACUUCUAAUUUUCUGCAUCUGAUGAUUUACAGCAUGAAGCUCGACUUCUAGCUCUUCUCUUUGCAAUCUUUGUCGUUCAGUUUCCCCAUUAAGAAUUUCAAACUUGUUUUCCAGUACAUUUAUAGUACAUUCUAGCUCCUCAACGGACCUCUCUAAUAGCUUUACCUCCACUUCCUUUUCUUCAGCAUAGACCUUCUUAGAUUCAGCUAUCUGUUGGGCCUCCAAUGCAAUAGCUUCAUUUUCUUCAGCCCAAGCCUGUGCCUUUUCAAGCUGUUCUUUCAAAUUAUGCAUCUCUGUGUGAAGCUGGUCUCUCUCAUUGGCAAGAUCAUCUAAGUUGUUUCUUAAAGAUUCAACUGUACUAUUCAUUUGGCCAAGAGCAUUGCCCAUCUGCGAGAGUUCCACUUCCAAGCUCUCAGUCAAAUUCUUUCUUUCUGUUAACUCCUCCUCAAGAGAAUUUUUUGCAGCCAAUGCUUCUUCUAUUUGUGCUCUCAGCUCCAGAUUUUCACAAGAACACAAUUUUAGAGACUCAUGUUCCUUUGCAAAAUCCAACUCAAGAGCAGAAAUGAUGCCCAUCUUCUCCUGCAACUGACUUUCAAGCAUCUGAUUAUGAGCAACAGCCUCAACAAGCUCACUAGACUUCACAACAAGCUCAUCUUCCAAAGCCUCAAAGGAGGCCAUCAUUUCCUCAAUCUUAUCCUUUUGAUCCUUAGUAUUAGAUGCAGACUCUUGUAGCAGGCUCAAAUCAAAUAAUAAUCCCUUUAAAAUGUCAUCCUUCCUCAAUAGCUCAGCCUGGAGACUCAUGUUGUCAGAUACCAACUGUUUAGCAUGACACUCCAAACACUCAAUUUCUUUUAUGAACUGGAAUGUCCUCUCUGUAGCUUCACAUAUCUCAUGGAACAUUUUUUCUACAACCAUAUUACUUUCUUUCUCCAGUAAAUUAAAAAACUUAUGAGAAGUCACAUUCACAUUCCCCAGUGAAUCAACACACUUCAUAGUAUUCAAGCUUGACAAGGCAAGGGCUUCCAGUGUAGCUUUCUUGUGAGACUUGAGUUCCUUCUUCAAAAGAAUCUUCUCAUUCUUCAAUGUAUUGACGUCAUUGACAAAUAUUUGCAAAUCCUGGCCCUUUGAGCUUAAAUCUUCCAUGACAACAGACUGAUAAUGCAAGAGUUCAUUCACCUUAGCACUUUUGAUUUUCAGAUCAGUCUCUAGGCCCGCAAUAUGAGUCUCCAAGGACAAAAUUCUAUCCUGCAAUCUGUGAUUUUUCAUGUCUGAGGUGCUUAUACGGCUUGAAGACAAUUCAAUUUCAGAACUCUUCUCCUCCAAAUCUUUGAGAAACAGGCUAUUAUCUAUCUUCAACUUCCAGACCUCACCUUUAAGUGAUUCAUUUUCCCCUUCCAAGCAUUUAAUUCUGCUGAGUUCUCCAUCUUUAUUGUCCAGCUCACUUUGAAGUGUGCUCAUUGAAGUUUCCAACAGGCAAAUGUCCUCCUGCAACUUCUGGUUUUGUUGAUCAAGGAUGGAAAUAUGACUUGAAGAACUAUCCAAUGCUGUUUCUUUAGCCUUCAAAUCCUUUAGCAGUUUCUCACAUUCAACUUCAAGUUUUUCAACCUGGCUUAACAGUCUCACUUUGGCUUCCAUAGCUUCACCCAUUUCACCCUUCAAUGCAUCAUUUGAACAAGCAAAAUCCUUCAGCAGUUGAAUUUCCCCUUCAAGGGCCCUGUUUGCCUCUUCUAUCUCUACAACUCUUAAAUGGCUUUGGUUCAGCCUUGACAAUAAAUACUGAGCCUCCCUUUGCGCUUCUUCAACUUCCUUUUGUAGAAGAGCAACCUCAGCAUCCUUGGCCAACAGAACUUGAUCUUUCAAAUUUCCAUCCACCAUUAAAAAAAUCAUUUCUUCCUUCAAAUGCUCAAGGUCAGAACCACAAUUGAUGUGCUUUCUCUCAGCUAUAACUUUCUCAAUAAACAUCUCUUCUAGCUGUGAUGCCAAGACAAGUGACUCAAUGUCCUUCGACCACAACUCUAUCAUAAAUAGCUCAGCCUCAGAAUUUAGAAGCUCCUCUUUCUCUUUCCGCAUUAUCUCUUGAUCAAUAAGGGACUCAUCAAUUUUUCUGUUACUGAAGUCUAAAUCCUUCAUUAGAAUAGAAAGCUGUGAUCCCAUAUAGUUAGACCUUUGUAGCAUCAAUUGCUCUUGCAACUGUAGAUCAAAGAUCUUUUUCUCAAAACUGUUUAGCUUAGUGCUAAGCUCCCCAGUUUCUGUUUCUUUCCUCAAGAUCCGAUCAAAACUGUUCUUCAUGUCAGCCAGCAAUUUCCCCUUCAAAGUUCUGCACAUUUGGAGCUCUCUAUUUGACUUAGAAUUGUGCUCUCUCAGACCAGCUAUAAUAGUGUUUGAUUCACACAAGCCAUGUUGAAGCAAUCCAUUUUCUGUGUUCAGCCCUGUUACUGUUUCCAACAGAAUGCCCAUAUGACAGAGGUGAAGCACUGAUACAGCAGAAUCCUUCAUGAUUAUCUCAGACCAGACAUCUUCGAGCCAUGAUCGCACCAACUUCCCUUUGUCUAAAACUAAAGUCUUAAUAGAAUGAAAAUCACAUGCCAGAGACUUUAAAUUUUCCUUGAAAGUGGUCUGGAGCUUUGCAAUACUAUCCUCCAGCUCCUCAACCAGAUCAUUUGUUUCCAUCAAGUUUAAGCCAAACUGCUUUUCAAGAUCUUCAACCUGCAGAUCCUUGAGAGAAUUGAGCGAAUGCAAUCUCUUGACCUCAUUAAUUAGCAUAUCCUUUUCAUUAGUUAAUGUGAUUUCUAUUUCUUUCAGCCUUUCCAUAUCCAGUUUCAUUGUUUCAUUUGCUAUUAUCAGCUCAUUGAUCAUGAUAUCAGCUUCUUUCAUGGUAUCUUGGGCCUCUUCAAAUUUAGCAAAAAUACAAGAAGCCUCUGCUGCCUUUUGGGCUGCAACCAUCUUUGCAUCACCAACUUCCAUCUCAAGAAACUCUUUUGUUUGGCACCAAUGAGUUCCAGCUUCUUGGACAAUCUGUUCAAAUGACUGUAACUUAUGAUUAAUGGCAUUCAUCUUAAGUUCAAACAGAUUUUCAAAAUUACUCAUAUCUGCUUGAAUUGCAAGUAUGAGAGUUGUGAAGCAUUUUAAGCUCUCCUGACUUCGUUUCUCAGAUAUCCGUAUUUCUUCUUUCUCACUACGUAGUUUAGCCAUCUCCACUUGAACCUCUUGCAAGCUUUCAAGGGCAGACUCUAUUUCCUUUUUGAGAAGAAUAAUGGUAACGUCUCGAUCACUUACAUCCUUGGAAGUCCUGAAUUCCUCUGAUUUUCUACAACGGGAUCCUUUUUCAAGAGAACACUCAGGGACAUGAGCUCUUAAGUCCUCUCCAGCAUCUGUCCGCCCAUUGCUGCUGUCAAGAGGCACACAAGCUACAUUUGUUUCAUUCAUUUUAGCACUUCUAUCAUGCUUCAAAGAGAUGCUCAUGCAUGACAUGAGUGAGGAUACACCAGUUUUCAGCUCAGUUAGUUUCUCUCUUGUCUUCAAAAUGUCAUUCUCUUCUUCUUCAAGCUUUUGUUCCAUAAAAUUAGCACGUUUCUCCUCUUCCAAGAGUCUCCGUUGAAGUUGAGCACAUGUAUCCUUCAAUUGCACUUGUUUCAUUCUCAAGGACUCAAUCUCUUCCUCAGCCUCUUUAAUAGCAGCGGCCUGAUUUUCUAGGAGGGCACAUUUCCUCUGAUUAAUCUCUAUUGAUUCACUAAGUUGGAAAUCCUUGUACUUUAAUUCAUCGAGAUUAUUAACAUUCAACUCUGAAAGCCUAUUCACAAUCACAAAAGCGGCUGUUGCACAAAUUGAUGAUUUAUUAGCAUGAAGUUGUGCCAGCUUCACCUUGCCCUCCAGCUCUGCAACGGUAGUUGUUUUCUCUUUUAAAAGAGACUUCAAGAGAAAAUUUUCU
Molecule: unclassified non-coding RNA, 5395 nt
Filed under: Hevea brasiliensis (rubber tree)
Lineage: Eukaryota; Viridiplantae; Streptophyta; Magnoliopsida; Malpighiales; Euphorbiaceae
Source: RNAcentral